GUGCCAGCAGCCGCGGUAAAACGUAGGUGGCGAGCGUUAUCCGGAUUCAUUGGGCGUAAAGAGCUUGUAGGCGGCCGCAUAAGUUGGACGUGAAAACUCCGGGCUUAACUUGGAGAGGCCGUUCAAUACUGUGAGGCUGGAGGGUGUCAGAGGGAAGUAGAAUUCCUGGUGUAGCAGUGAAAUGCGUAGAUAUCAGGAGGAAUACCCGUGGCGAAGGCGGCUUCCUGGGGCACCACUGACGCUGAGAAGCGAAAGCUAGGGGAGCAAACGGGAUUAGAUACCCCAGUAGUCC
RNAcentral lists this ribosomal RNA (292 nucleotides) under uncultured bacterium. Its description in RNAcentral is "partial 16S ribosomal RNA". It matches the Rfam family "Bacterial small subunit ribosomal RNA", at positions 505 to 796 of the family's 1533-position model. The record is from RNAcentral.